RNAcentral lists this ribosomal RNA (422 nucleotides) under uncultured bacterium. RNAcentral's name for it is "bacterial SSU rRNA". It matches the Rfam family "Bacterial small subunit ribosomal RNA", at positions 355 to 774 of the family's 1533-position model. The record is from RNAcentral.
UGAGGAAUAUUGGGCAAUGCCCGCAAGGGUGACCCAGCAACGCCGCGUGGAGGAUGAAUGUCGUAAGAUUGUAAACUCCUGUUAGAGGGGAAGAAUAGUACCGGUUGGACCGGUAUAUGACUGUACCCUCAGAGAAAGCCCCGGCUAACUACGUGCCAGCAGCCGCGGUAAUACGUAGGGGGCAAGCGUUGUCCGGAUUUACUGGGUGUAAAGGGCGGGCAGGCGGGAUAAAAAGUCAGUGGUUAAAUCCUACAGCUUAACUGUAGAAAUGCCUUUGAUACUUGUAGUCUUGAGUUCGGGAGAGAGAGACGGAAUUCCAGGUGUAGUUGUGAAAUACGUAUAUAUCUGGAAGAACACCAGUUGCGAAGGCGGUCUCUUGGUCCGACACUGACGCUGAGGCGCGAAAGCGUGGGGAGCAAACA